AUACGGAGGAUGCGAGCGUUAUCCGGAUUUAUUGGGUUUAAAGGGAGCGUAGGUGGGAUAUUAAGUCAGCUGUGAAAGUUUGGGGCUCAACCUUAAAAUUGCAGUUGAUACUGGCUGUCUUGAGUACAGUAGAGGUGGGCGGUAUUCGUGGUGUAGCGGUGAAAUGCUUAGAUAUCACGAAGAACUCCGAUUGCGAAGGCAGCUCACUGGACUGCAACUGACACUGAUGCUCGAAAGUGUGGGUAUCAAACAGGAUUAGAUACCCUGGUAGUCCACACAGUAAACGAUGAAUACUCGCUGUUUGCGAUAUACAGUAAGCGGCCAAGCGAAAGCAUUAAGUAUUCCACCUGGGGAGUACGCCGGCAACGGUGAAACUCAAAUGAAUUGGCGGGG
Molecule: ribosomal RNA, 393 nt
Filed under: uncultured bacterium
Lineage: Bacteria
Description: partial 16S ribosomal RNA
Rfam family: Bacterial small subunit ribosomal RNA
Source: RNAcentral